Molecule: long non-coding RNA, 581 nt
Organism: Canis lupus familiaris (dog)
Lineage: Eukaryota; Metazoa; Chordata; Mammalia; Carnivora; Canidae
Exons: 4
Source: RefSeq, a predicted model, not a curated record
ACUAUUGGUCUUAAAGAUAAGAUAACCAUCUACAAGUCCAUACAGAUGUAAAUACCAUGGGAAAAUGCUGAAUUACUUGUGCUACAAAAGGGUGUAAUUAACUCUCUGGGUAAUGUGAGGAAACUGCAAAAAAGCAGAGAAUCACAUCUCUUAGGGAUAAAGUGUCAUUUUGAAAGUAAGAGCUACUGGAAUUAGUGGUACCAAAGGGCUACAAUGUACCUUGCCCUUGGACAUGGCCAGCCACAGCUGCAGAUGCCAUGAUGCCCUGCUUUCUGAUAUACAGGGGAGAGAAAGCAAGCAUGGAGAGGAGGAGGAGAGAGAAAAACUCAAAAAGACCCCCCAGUGAGUGCGGAGACCUAUGCAGGACUCAAUCUCAGGACUCUGAGAUCAGACCAGACCUGAAACCAAGAAUCAGAUGCUUAACCUACUGAGCCACCCAGUUCCAUCAAAAUCAAUGUUUCAAUCAAGGUGGACACCGUGUAUGGAUACUGGCUGAUUAGGUACUUAAUGAACACUGCACAGGCCCUCUCGGACAUUUGAUCUCUUGAUAUUACCCAGAAAACUUCAACUGCCUCCUCUAC